This 1073-nucleotide ribosomal RNA is filed under the name Streptococcus thermophilus. RNAcentral describes it as "bacterial SSU rRNA". It matches the Rfam family "Bacterial small subunit ribosomal RNA", at positions 45 to 1100 of the family's 1533-position model. Lineage: Bacteria; Bacillati; Bacillota; Bacilli; Lactobacillales; Streptococcaceae. The record is from RNAcentral.
UGCCUAAUACAUGCAAGUAGAACGCUGAAGAGAGGAGCUUGCUCUUCUUGGAUGAGUUGCGAACGGGUGAGUAACGCGUAGGUAACCUGCCUUGUAGCGGGGGAUAACUAUUGGAAACGAUAGCUAAUACCGCAUAACAAUGGAUGACACAUGUCAUUUAUUUGAAAGGGGCAAUUGCUCCACUACAAGAUGGACCUGCGUUGUAUUAGCUAGUAGGUGAGGUAAUGGCUCACCUAGGCGACGAUACAUAGCCGACCUGAGAGGGUGAUCGGCCACACUGGGACUGAGACACGGCCCAGACUCCUACGGGAGGCAGCAGUAGGGAAUCUUCGGCAAUGGGGGCAACCCUGACCGAGCAACGCCGCGUGAGUGAAGAAGGUUUUCGGAUCGUAAAGCUCUGUUGUAAGUCAAGAACGGGUGUGAGAGUGGAAAGUUCACACUGUGACGGUAGCUUACCAGAAAGGGACGGCUAACUACGUGCCAGCAGCCGCGGUAAUACGUAGGUCCCGAGCGUUGUCCGGAUUUAUUGGGCGUAAAGCGAGCGCAGGCGGUUUGAUAAGUCUGAAGUUAAAGGCUGUGGCUCAACCAUAGUUCGCUUUGGAAACUGUCAAACUUGAGUGCAGAAGGGGAGAGUGGAAUUCCAUGUGUAGCGGUGAAAUGCGUAGAUAUAUGGAGGAACACCGGUGGCGAAAGCGGCUCUCUGGUCUGUAACUGACGCUGAGGCUCGAAAGCGUGGGGAGCGAACAGGAUUAGAUACCCUGGUAGUCCACGCCGUAAACGAUGAGUGCUAGGUGUUGGAUCCUUUCCGGGAUUCAGUGCCGCAGCUAACGCAUUAAGCACUCCGCCUGGGGAGUACGACCGCAAGGUUGAAACUCAAAGGAAUUGACAGGGGCCCGCACAAGCGGUGGAGCAUGUGGUUUAAUUCGAAGCAACGCGAAGAACCUUACCAGGUCUUGACAUCCCGAUGCUAUUUCUAGAGAUAGAAAGUUACUUCGGUACAUCGGUGACAGGUGGUGCAUGGUUGUCGUCAGCUCGUGUCGUGAGAUGUUGGGUUAAGUCCCGCAACGAGCGCA